UCCCGGCGUCGCUUGCGCGGGGGCCGAGGACUGGGGGCUUCGGCCCGCCCGGCGACGGGGAACGAGCGCGCCGCCUGCGGCCUCCCGCUUUCCGUAGUCGCCCGCUUCUCUGCGUGUCUUUGCACUCUUUCUAUGGACGAAUAUAGCGUAAAGAUGCGCAUCUGGAGGAGUUUAAUUCUCAGAACCUCGCUGUGGACAUCGGGAUUCGGGAUUUCUAGAGGCUUUGAAAUAAAUUGAUUUUUGCUUAGCACUCUUUCCCCGAGUAAAUCCGCUGUGCUGUGCAGCAUGUGGGAUCUUAGUUCCCCAACCAGGGAUCGAACCUGUGCCCCCUGCAUUAACCACUGGACCACGAGGGAAGUCCAUUCAGUCAAAUGUUUUUGAGCGAAAUAUAUAUAAAACAGCAGAUGCAUAUAUGUAUUCCAUUUUAAAAUGUUAACAAAAAAACAAAAUCCAAAAAACCCUGAGGUAAGGCGGCAUAAAAAAACUGCAAAUGUUUAUUGGGACGGAAAGACAAAACUUCAUAGUAAUUAUUGUCAGAAUUGUAAAGUAAAUAAACAUACACUUCAGUUUUGUAAUAGGAGUGAUUAGUCAUUAAGGUCUUAACAGUUCAAUAAUGCAUUUAAUCUAACAAACUUUAGAAAGACAAUAUCAUAAAAUUGUCUUAAAACACUGCAUGUUAGGUCAUCAUUAACAUUAAAGAUAAAGAUGGCAAAACUAUACUCCUAUCACAUCAUCAUACUAGUCUCUGCAUGUUAACCUAUCAAAUUUGUUUGUAAGUCAGGUCAUUUAUCAAUAUCAAAUCCUAUUUUAUUGCACAGUGUCCAAUUCAGCAAUUUUCAACUACGUUGUAAAACUAAAUAAAGGCAAAAAUCCUUAGGAAAAAUGUACUUGUCUUUUUUCUUUUCAAGAGA
Molecule: long non-coding RNA, 911 nt
Organism: Physeter macrocephalus (sperm whale)
Lineage: Eukaryota; Metazoa; Chordata; Mammalia; Artiodactyla; Physeteridae
Exons: 3
Source: RefSeq, a predicted model, not a curated record